This is a long non-coding RNA of Tarenaya hassleriana, 982 nucleotides long. RefSeq lists it as uncharacterized. The transcript has 3 exons. Lineage: Eukaryota; Viridiplantae; Streptophyta; Magnoliopsida; Brassicales; Cleomaceae. The record is from RefSeq and is a predicted model, not a curated record.
GUUCUGUCCGUAGAAUUUGGUUCCAUAAAUUGGUUUAGCGUAGCAGUAUUGCUCAGGGUGUGGCGGCUGUCCAGGUACAUGUGUGCCAGAAUUUUCUGAUAAAAUAAUGUCAAAAGCAGAGUGGGAUGGUUCUAAAUUUAUCCCUGAGAAUGUUUCCUAUCAAGGUAAUUUUCAUGCGUAUAUUAUAUUAACUGUGGUUUUCACUAGGGUAUUAAGUGUGUUGACAUGCAAUACAUGAUUUGAAAAGGAAGCCUCUGUACAUAUCUAGCAGCAUGUGUUCAACACAAGUCUACGAGUAGCAUGUACAACAUGGUGCUAUGCAGGCCUUCAUGAACGUUAUUUCCCCAUUUUCAGAUUUUCUACGUCAUCCUAAUCAAUUCCAAAUGUAACAUUGGGGGUCCAUAUCUCUACUUUUACACUUUCAUAUGCAAAACCAUGGCAGAGGAGCACUAACCAAUGACAAAAUCCUUGAGUGAUUCAUUGCUAUUCUGUCUGAACUUCCGGUGCAUCCAGCCCAGUAACUGCAUCAGAGAGUUUUAGGAGUUAACAACAGCAUGGAAGAUCAUUAUUACUCAGUAUAAUGGAUUUUGGAAUAUAAGCAGCUCUUCCAAGUCUCUAGUAGCCAAAAGUAAGAUGGCUUGAGAGAAACACAGAGAUAAUUACAAGAUUGUGGUUAUCAAGAUCAACUCAUGUGAUUGCUUGCCAGUGGGUCCUCAUUUCUUGAUGUAAGAAGUGAACAUUGCAUAGGUGCAUCCCCAUGGUUUUGUCAAACGGGUUAUAUACAUAGUGUCCGGAAAUGGAAUGACUUGAAUGCAUCAAAGGUACUACCAUUCCAUAAUAAGGAUUGUUUGCUUACAAUGUGAUGGCACUCUCAGGAAUAGUUGCAACUUGAAUCUGAUUUAAUCUUGGCUAGACUUCUGUUUUUUUCUAUGAAAACUAACUCGUUUGUUUUCUUACGGUUACCUUCUUUCCUUCUUCCUGA